RNAcentral lists this ribosomal RNA (255 nucleotides) under uncultured bacterium. Its description in RNAcentral is "partial 16S ribosomal RNA". It matches the Rfam family "Bacterial small subunit ribosomal RNA", at positions 524 to 776 of the family's 1533-position model. The record is from RNAcentral.
UACGAAGGGGCUAGCGUUGUUCGGAUUUACUGGGCGUAAAGCGCACGUAGGCGGAUCGUUAAGUCGGGGGUGAAAUCCUGGAGCUCAACUCCAGAACUGCCUUCGAUACUGGCGAUCUAGAGUCCGGAAGAGGUGAGUGGAACUCCUAGUGUAGAGGUGGAAUUCGUAGAUAUUAGGAAGAACACCAGUGGCGAAGGCGGACUCGUCUGGGCCUUACCGUGACGCUGAGGAGCGAAAGUGUGGGGAGCGAACAGG